UCGAAAAACUCUGAGACUUUGCCGAAGAAAGCAACUCUCUAUCAGUCACCAUUUAAGAAAUAACUUUAAACCCCUAAUUGACCCACCCAUUUCCAACUUUUUACAUUUUUCACAUACUCCCCUCUGUUCCACUCGUAAAACUCUGAGAGUUUGCCGAAGAAAGUAACUC
Bradysia coprophila is the source of this 169-nucleotide long non-coding RNA. Lineage: Eukaryota; Metazoa; Arthropoda; Insecta; Diptera; Sciaridae. The record is from RefSeq and is a predicted model, not a curated record.